This 371-nucleotide ribosomal RNA is filed under the name uncultured bacterium. Its description in RNAcentral is "bacterial SSU rRNA". It matches the Rfam family "Bacterial small subunit ribosomal RNA", at positions 525 to 896 of the family's 1533-position model. The record is from RNAcentral.
ACGUAGGGUGCAAGCGUUAAUCGGAAUUACUGGGCGUAAAGCGUGCGCAGGCGGUGAUGUAAGACAGUCGUGAAAUCCCCGGGCUCAACCUGGGAAUUGCGAUUGUGACUGCAUCGCUGGAGUGCGGCAGAGGGGGAUGGAAUUCCGCGUGUAGCAGUGAAAUGCGUAGAUAUGCGGAGGAACACCGAUGGCGAAGGCAAUCCCCUGGGCCUGCACUGACGCUCAUGCACGAAAGCGUGGGGAGCAAACAGGAUUAGAUACCCUGGUAGUCCACGCCCUAAACGAUGUCAACUGGUUGUUGGGUCUCUUCUGACUCAGUAACGAAGCUAACGCGUGAAGUUGACCGCCUGGGGAGUACGGCCGCAAGGUUG